GACGAACGCUGGCGGCGUGCUUAACACAUGCAAGUCGAACGAAGAGCGAUGGAAGCUUGCUUCUAUCAAUCUUAGUGGCGCACGGGUGAGUAACGCGUAAUCAACCUGCCCUUCAGAGGGGGACAACAGUUGGAAACGACUGCUAAUACCGCAUACGAUCUAAUCUCGGCAUCGAGGAUAGAUGAAAGGUGGCCUCUACAUGUAAGCUAUCACUGAAGGAGGGGAUUGCGUCUGAUUAGCUAGUUGGAGGGGUAACGGCCCACCAAGGCGAUGAUCAGUAGCCGGUCUGAGAGGAUGAACGGCCACAUUGGGACUGAGACACGGCCCAGACUCCUACGGGAGGCAGCAGUGGGGAAGCUUCCGCAAUGGACGAAAGUCUGACGGAGCAACGCCGCGUGAGUGAUGACGGCCUUCGGGUUGUAAAGCUCGGUUAAUCGGGACGAAAGGCCUUCUUGCGAAUAGGGAGAAGGAUUGACGGUACCGGAAUAGAAAGCCACGGCUAACUACGUG
This 510-nucleotide ribosomal RNA is filed under the name uncultured bacterium. RNAcentral's name for it is "partial 16S ribosomal RNA". It matches the Rfam family "Bacterial small subunit ribosomal RNA", at positions 28 to 507 of the family's 1533-position model. The record is from RNAcentral.